CCGCAAGCAAAAUAAACUUACAUUCCUUUAUCAAAGUGGAGCUGGAUUUCUUCAAACCCUUUUUGCAUACAAUUACCUGUUGCCUGACUCGGGUUAUCCGUGCUCACAGCUGAAGGAGGGGCAGCAUCAUCAAAAUGUACCCAAAGUCACCCAGGAGCCCUGUCUAAAGAUCAAUGGGAAUCCAGAUGGAGGACUCCGGCCAGUACACGUGUACCACCAUCCUGGACUCUGAGGCGCCAGUCAGCAAAAUCAUCUACAAUCUGGCAACAUCUUCGAAUCCCGGGAGGAAAAACAUGAAAUCUAAAGAUUCUCUGGAAAAAGAGCCAGUAGAAAGGCAAAGAGUCAAGCACCGUCCUAUACUGCUAUCACCUGCCAGCAAACCCCACAAAAAAACUAAAACAUUCCCCAAAACAUUCCUUUCCCCUAC
Long non-coding RNA from Bufo gargarizans (Asiatic toad), 427 nucleotides. RefSeq lists it as uncharacterized. NCBI's taxonomy places the organism in Eukaryota, Metazoa, Chordata, Amphibia, Anura, Bufonidae. The transcript has 3 exons. The record is from RefSeq and is a predicted model, not a curated record.